This is a long non-coding RNA of Saccoglossus kowalevskii, 90 nucleotides long. NCBI's taxonomy places the organism in Eukaryota, Metazoa, Hemichordata, Enteropneusta, Harrimaniidae. The record is from RefSeq and is a predicted model, not a curated record.
GAUUUAGAAGACUAUGCUAUGGAACAAGACAUAGACGGCGUUCGAGCAGCUAGUUUGCCGGAUGAAAGAUUUAUUGACCCGAGUGAGUAG